GAUGAACGCUAGCGGCAGGCUUAAUACAUGCAAGUCGAGGGGCAACAGGGGUAGCAAUACCUGCUGGCGACCGGCAAACGGGUGCGGAACACGUACAGAACCUUCCUCUGAGUGGGAGAUAGCCCGGAGAAAUCCGGAUUGACACCCCAUAGUAUUGUUGUGUGGCAUCACAUAAUAAUUAAAGAUUUAUUGCUCAGAGAUGGCUGUGCGGCUGAUUAGGUAGUUGGCGGGGUAAAGGCCCACCAAGCCAUCGAUCAGUAACUGGUGUGAGAGCACGACCAGUCACACGGGCACUGAGACACGGGCCCGACUCCUACGGGAGGCAGCAGUAAGGAAUAUUGGUCAAUGGAGGCAACUCUGAACCAGCCAUGCCGCGUGAAGGAUGAAGGUCCUCUGGAUUGUAAACUUCUUUUAUGUGGGAAGAAACCGAUACAUUCUUGUGUCGUUGACGGUACCAUAGGAAUAAGCACCGGCUAACUCCGUGCCAGCAGCCGCGGUAAUACGGAGGGUGCAAGCGUUAUCCGGAUUCACUGGGUUUAAAGGGUGCGUAGGUGGGAAUGUAAGUCAGUGGUGAAAUCUCCGUGCUUAACACGGAAACUGCCAUUGAUACUAUGUUUCUUGAAUUUUCUGGAGGUUAGCGGAAUAUGUCAUGUAGCGGUGAAAUGCUUAGAUAUGACAUAGAACACCAAUUGCGAAGGCAGCUAACUACAGGGAUAUUGACACUGAGGCACGAAAGCGUGGGGAUCAAACAGGAUUAGAUACCCUGGUAGUCCACGCCCUAAACGAUGGAUACUCGACAUUUGUGAUAGACAAUAAGUGUCUGAGCGAAAGCAUUAAGUAUCCCACCUGGGAAGUACGACCGCAAGGUUG
RNAcentral lists this ribosomal RNA (870 nucleotides) under uncultured bacterium. Its description in RNAcentral is "bacterial SSU rRNA". It matches the Rfam family "Bacterial small subunit ribosomal RNA", at positions 28 to 896 of the family's 1533-position model. The record is from RNAcentral.